Molecule: non-coding RNA, 54 nt
Organism: Schistosoma mattheei
Lineage: Eukaryota; Metazoa; Platyhelminthes; Trematoda; Strigeidida; Schistosomatidae
Source: Rfam
CUCUAGCUGAGGAGUCCCAUACUAGGACGAAACGGCCGUCCAGUGCUUCCAGAU